RNAcentral lists this long non-coding RNA (217 nucleotides) under Carica papaya (papaya). Its description in RNAcentral is "long non-coding RNA (CPAP_LNC003306)". The record is from RNAcentral. Lineage: Eukaryota; Viridiplantae; Streptophyta; Magnoliopsida; Brassicales; Caricaceae.
AACAAUAACCCCAAUAGCUUAGGAGGAGAUUGCCUGAUCCGGUAAGUAGCCACCCCAAGAAACGAACUAGAGUUGUUCAUCCCCCUAUCUUGCCUCCACCUACAAUUCAACUUGCCUGACCUAACAAACCCUGUCAGCAUUAUGGUCGCUCGCAUGGUGACCUGCCCUAUCGGCGUAUCAAUCAUGCCCGUUAUUGGUGUGGAAACACCCAACAUCU